This 361-nucleotide unclassified non-coding RNA is filed under the name uncultured Hygrocybe. Its description in RNAcentral is "sequence contains ITS1". The stretch from base 1 to 106 matches the Rfam family "5.8S ribosomal RNA", at positions 50 to 154 of the family's 154-position model. The record is from RNAcentral. Lineage: Eukaryota; Fungi; Basidiomycota; Agaricomycetes; Agaricales; Hygrophoraceae.
GAAAUGCGAUACGUGAUGCGAAUUGCAGAAUUCCGUGAAUCAUUGAAUUUUUGAACGCACCUGGCGCUCUUGUCCUUGUGUCAAGAGCAGGUUUGUUUGAGAAUCUUUUUUUGAAUUUGUGUCAAUUUGUGAAUGGACGAGCAUGAUUGUCCUUGUUUUGAUAAAAUGAGGUCAAUUGAAUAUGUUUUUGUUUUUUGUGCUGUGUAAUGAUAUAUGAUAUAAGGGGGUUUCUAAUAGGAACAAUACUUGUUUCAGUAAGAAAUUUUCCAUUCAUUAUGCAUGUGCACCUAACCCUAAAGAAAACCCAACUCACAACCUAAAAAUGAGAUCUCAAAUGAAUCAGAAGACCCGCUGAACUUAA